This 434-nucleotide ribosomal RNA is filed under the name Bacillus mycoides. RNAcentral's name for it is "bacterial SSU rRNA". It matches the Rfam family "Bacterial small subunit ribosomal RNA", at positions 75 to 498 of the family's 1533-position model. The record is from RNAcentral. Lineage: Bacteria; Bacillati; Bacillota; Bacilli; Caryophanales; Bacillaceae.
UAAGUUNUCUUAUGAGUUACGGCGGACGGGUGAGUACACGUGGGUACCUGCCNAUAAGACUGGGAUAACUCCGGGAAACCGGGGCUAAUACCGGAUAACAUUUUGCGCCUCAUGGNGCGAAAUUGAAAGGCGGCUUCGGCUGUCACUUAUGGAUGGACCCGCGUCGCAUUAGCUAGUUGGUGAGGUAACGGCUCACCAAGGCAACGAUGCGUAGCCGACCUGAGAGGGUGAUCGGCCACACUGGGACUGAGACACGGCCCAGACUCCUACGGGAGGCAGCAGUAGGGAAUCUUCCGCAAUGGACGAAAGUCUGACGGAGCAACGCCGCGUGAGUGAUGAAGGCUUUCGGGUCGUAAAACUCUGUUGUUAGGGAAGAACAAGUGCUAGUUGAAUAAGCUGGCACCUUGACGGUACCUAACCAGAAAGCCACGGCU